UCCAGAUAUUGUCUUGCUCCAGAAGUCCC
This 29-nucleotide non-coding RNA is filed under the name Mus musculus (house mouse). Lineage: Eukaryota; Metazoa; Chordata; Mammalia; Rodentia; Muridae. The record is from RNAcentral.